CGGAUACCUGCUUUCAGUUGAUAAGUUAUCCAGAUUGGUGGGGAAAUAAACCUCGCUCUAGUACUACAGGAUGAGGAAGUGGGUGUAAGCGUAAUGGUGGAGGAGGAGGUGACAAAUGUGGUGACCCAUGAGCAAACAUCACAUAGACAUUGGCAGCAGAGGAUGGUCGUAGAGGUGUCACAGAUUCUGACAGGAAGGGGCUUAAUGGCUUGAAUGACGAACAAUAGAGCACCUUACUGGGAAUUUUGAGUUCGCAGAGGACUGUACCAAAUGAAAGGUUGACUGGUAAGCAAGGAAUUUUGCCUUGGAUAAUAGAUUCAGGAGCU
This 326-nucleotide unclassified non-coding RNA is filed under the name Hevea brasiliensis (rubber tree). The record is from RNAcentral. Lineage: Eukaryota; Viridiplantae; Streptophyta; Magnoliopsida; Malpighiales; Euphorbiaceae.